This 1085-nucleotide ribosomal RNA is filed under the name Dothideomycetes sp. genotype css047. Its description in RNAcentral is "eukaryotic LSU rRNA". The stretch from base 559 to 1085 matches the Rfam family "Eukaryotic large subunit ribosomal RNA", at positions 1 to 533 of the family's 3401-position model. The record is from RNAcentral. Lineage: Eukaryota; Fungi; Ascomycota; Dothideomycetes.
CAUUACCGAGUGGCCCAAGUCCGCAAGGACCGGUUACCCGACCUCUUGUCAUUUGCUCUGGGGUCGCCUGCAAGGUUCGGCCCGCACUUCCUCCAUGUGGGGUUGGGCGGGUCGCGCCGAACUGGCGGCCUCAGCUUCGAUAACUUCGGCGGAAGUGGUAGGUUCGACCUGCCCGCCGCCGGCCGUAUUCAACCUGCAAGUAAUUUUGAAGUCUGAUUUGAAUCAUAAUGAAAAGCAAAACUUUCAACAACGGAUCUCUUGGCUCUGGCAACGAUGAAGAACGCAGCGAAACGCGAAAGGUAAUGCGAAUUGCAGAAUCAGUGAGUCAUCGAAUUUUUGAACGCACAUUGCACCCCUUGGUAUUCCGGGGGGUACGCCUGUUCGAGCGCCAUCACACACCCCAAGCUCUGCUUGAUGUUGGACGAUGCCUUGGCCCUUCUGGGCCGGGGCACGUCUGGAACCCGUGGGCGCCCCCGCCGAACCACGAGCGUAGCAAGACGCAAGUCACUCGCUUCUGUCGGUCUCGGUGGAGGGUCUGCCUAAUCCAUUUCUGAAGAUUGGCCUCGGAUCAGGUGGGGAUACCCGCUGAACUUAAGCAUAUCAAUAAGCGGAGGAAAAGAAACCAACAGGGAUUGCCUCAGUAACGGCGAGUGAAGCGGCAACAGCUCAAAUUUGAAAUCUGGGGCCUUCGGCUCCCGAGUUGUAAUUUGUAGAGGAUGCCUCGGGGGGUGCUUCGGCCCAAGUUCCUUGGAACAGGAUACCACAGAGGGUGAGAGUCCCGUAUCCGGCCGGCAGUGCCCUCCGCGCGAGGCUCCUUCGACGAGUCGAGUUGUUUGGGAAUGCAGCUCUAAGCGGGUGGUAAAUUCCAUCUAAAGCUAAAUACUGGCCAGAGACCGAUAGCGAACAAGUAGAGUGAUCGAAAGAUGAAAAGCACUUUGAAAAGAGAGUCAAACAGUACGUGAAAUUGUUGAAAGGGAAGCGUAUGGGGGCAGACUUGGCCGCGGGGUUCAGGGUGUCUUUUGGCGCCUGUACUUCCCCGUGGGCAGGCCAGCAUCGGUUUUGGGGGUUGGAUAAAGGCGUCGGGA